UCCGCUAUCGGGGAUAAAAUAUUAGGAAAACUUUAUUUAUAUUAAUUUAGCCAUUUUUAUUUUUAUUUAAUAUUUUUGUUUUUAAUUUAAUUUUUCAUUUGUUUGCUUCUGGCAGAUUCUUUUGGUUUAUGACUAGAGGAAACUUGUUGUAUCCAUCACUUUUUGAUAGUGAGAUUGAAAAGACUGCUCGUAAAAAUUG
This 199-nucleotide long non-coding RNA is filed under the name Gossypium raimondii (Peruvian cotton). Its description in RNAcentral is "long non-coding RNA (GRAI_LNC010623)". Lineage: Eukaryota; Viridiplantae; Streptophyta; Magnoliopsida; Malvales; Malvaceae. The record is from RNAcentral.